CAUCAAAAAUUCUUUUUUUUUUUUAAAUUAUGAAACUUAUGCCAAAAUUUUUACAAAAUUGCAAGCUUUAUUUUGAUGCUGAUUUUAAAUUUUUUUGUAUAUUACACUUCUAAUCUUUAUUAAAAGGUCAAAUGUAAAAAUAAAAUAUUAAAAUUCUAAAAAUGCAAAAUAAUCGAAUAAAAUUAUGAAGAAUCCAUAUAAAAAAAAAAUCAGAAAGUGUUUUGUCUGGCAAAAUUAAUUUUGUUACAACUAAGUCACCUUAGAAUUUUUUGGACAAAGCUUUUGCGCAUGAGAUGAGAAAGAGGGAUUCCAGGCUGAAACUUAUACACAAAUAUUUUUCCAAAUGUCAUAUUUUUUAGAAGCCAGAGGAUUCAUUUUUGUGACUGCAACAAAUUGUCGGGCUGUGAUCAUCGAGCAUAGAGGUAUCUCUGUAUAUUCCUUCCAAGUCUCCUUCUUUCCUUUGUUAACUACAAAUUCACAUACACACCCCCGCACAAGCUCUUUGUGCUUUCAAUUUUUCAUACGAGAAAAGCAUUUAACUGGAAGAAAUUUUGUGUAUUGGUUUUUGAUUUCAGAUUAUGCAUUCCUCUUUGGCUUAUAAUCUUCAUCUAUUGUCCUUGUUAUCGUCUUUCUCUUUUUUUAUGGAUUGCUUUUGGACUGCUGCCACAUCCAAAGUUCUCAAAUUUUAAUGGCCUGAUGAAGUACCUAGUUAAAUUUUACAAAAUUUUCCCCUAUUAUUAACUUUUAAGGUAAUUAUCAUACAAGUUGAAUCUUUCAACUUCAAUUUAAUUUUAUAAAAGGCAUUAAAACUUAAAAGUUAAUUAAAUGAGUAACGGAGAAAGGGGAGGGUUUGACGGUGAUGGAAUACCUGAAUUUAUUUUAUGCAUCUUUUUUUAAAGAAAUUAAUAAUAUAAAGUAAUUUUAUUGAUAAAAUAGUUAACCAAUCAGCAAUUUAACUUAGAAAUUUUUAAUUUAUAAUUACAAUGAAAUUUAGUUAGUUUUAUAAAAGAAAUUAAAAUUUAGUAAUUUUUAUGAAAACCCUUAUUGUUUGUGAUAUUUACCCCAUCUUAGUAACAUUCAUGAUGAACUUGAAUGUUGUGCAUGAGUUGUUAGAUAGAAUGUCCUGCUUUUGAAGAUUUAAAUUCAAAAUAAUAAUAAUUGUUAUUGUUGCGUUUAUCUUUCUUAUUGUGUUGGAUUUCCAUUUUCUGUUGGUUACUUGGUUAACUAUAGCAUUGGAGGUUUCUACAACUUCUGUUUGCCUUUUUGUUGCUACAAGAUUGUAUAGUCCCUGCAAUAGUUAUUGUAUUCAUUUUGUUGACUGGAAUGCAUUUAUAUGCACAAAUCCAUGGCAUAGAGGUUAAAGUUCUUUGAUAGGCAGUGAUUACAGUCAUUGGAACGUGCUAUACACUGGAAAAAGUGAAAGGGAGAAAAAGAAGAACAAGUUAGAGGAGCAGAUAAGGAUAAUUUAGGUGCACUGAGUUUUCCCAUCUAUUUAGCUGGGGCAGUAAUUGUAUUAUUAUUAUUAUUAU
Molecule: unclassified non-coding RNA, 1529 nt
Filed under: Hevea brasiliensis (rubber tree)
Lineage: Eukaryota; Viridiplantae; Streptophyta; Magnoliopsida; Malpighiales; Euphorbiaceae
Source: RNAcentral